GGGAAUUAAGAUCAAAGAUGAAGAACUUGAAGAACUAAUGGCCCAGCUACCAUCUGAUGGUAACAGAACAGUGGAUCUGAAUGAUCUGAUGGAUGUCAUCAGUUACAUCAAGGGAGAAGUAAUUGACAUCCAAAACUUGGGCAAGUUUCUAGCAAAUGAGGGG
This is a long non-coding RNA of Onychomys torridus (southern grasshopper mouse), 163 nucleotides long. RefSeq lists it as uncharacterized. The record is from RefSeq and is a predicted model, not a curated record. Lineage: Eukaryota; Metazoa; Chordata; Mammalia; Rodentia; Cricetidae. The transcript is spliced from 3 exons.